GGGCAAUUAGUUUAGUGGUAUAACGUCCGUUUUGCAUUGACGGUAAUACGGAAGGUCGUGAUUUCGAUUAUCACAUUGUCCA
Molecule: transfer RNA, 82 nt
Organism: Coccidioides posadasii str. Silveira
Lineage: Eukaryota; Fungi; Ascomycota; Eurotiomycetes; Onygenales; Onygenaceae
Rfam family: tRNA
About the family: Transfer RNA (tRNA) molecules are approximately 80 nucleotides in length. Their secondary structure includes four short double-helical elements and three loops (D, anti-codon, and T loops). Further hydrogen bonds mediate the characteristic L-shaped molecular structure. tRNAs have two regions of fundamental functional importance: the anti-codon, which is responsible for specific mRNA codon recognition, and the 3' end, to which the tRNAs corresponding amino acid is attached (by aminoacyl-tRNA synthetases). tRNAs cope with the degeneracy of the genetic code in two manners: having more than one tRNA (with a specific anti-codon) for a particular amino acid; and 'wobble' base-pairing, i.e. permitting non-standard base-pairing at the 3rd anti-codon position.
Source: Rfam